UUUCCGUAAAUAUGCCCAUGAUGAUGUCAGUACUGGAUCAUGGUUCAUUGGGCUUCAAGUAAAGCAUGUUGAUGAAUCAAAAUUUUGCUGCUCCUCAUGGUCCACAGGGUCAAUAUGUGCAGCUGUGUGAUUGGAUCUGCCUUGCUAGCAUUCUACCUGAAUCUAAUAUAUAACAAAGAAGGCCGCGUUCAACAUGUAUCAAGGAAGGUUUCCCUCUUCUCUUUUCAUGCACCCUCUUCCAGUCUUUCUGGUUCCCAAUGACAGACUUCUGGUGAGAGUUGAUCCUGAUAGCAUCAAAAUUGUGAAAUUGUUGAUAGAAGAGGUAUUGACAAUAACAUCUGCGUAUAAAAAGCUAGUUUAGAGUUGUUCAAACCACUGGACGUGAGCCAUAUAUAGAAUCCAUGAAGAUUUUGUAAACAGCAGGAUAUGUUUUUUCCGGAGAUGUCUUGUAAUAGCCAUGUAAUCCAAGUCCAUUUUUUAUUUUUUA
This is a long non-coding RNA of Populus euphratica (Euphrates poplar), 487 nucleotides long. RefSeq lists it as uncharacterized. The transcript has 2 exons. The record is from RefSeq and is a predicted model, not a curated record. Lineage: Eukaryota; Viridiplantae; Streptophyta; Magnoliopsida; Malpighiales; Salicaceae.